Molecule: RNA transcript, 1960 nt
Organism: Pan troglodytes (chimpanzee)
Lineage: Eukaryota; Metazoa; Chordata; Mammalia; Primates; Hominidae
Gene: CYP2C8
Gene name: cytochrome P450 family 2 subfamily C member 8
Exons: 10
Source: RefSeq, a predicted model, not a curated record
UGUCAAAGAGACACACACUAAAUUAGCAGGGAGUGUUAUAAAAGCUUUGGAGUGCAAGCUCACAGCUGUCUUAAUAAGAAGAGAAGGCUUCAAUGGAACCUUUUGUGGUCCUGGUGCUGUGUCUCUCUUUUAUGCUUCUCUUUUCACUCUGGAGACAGAGCUCUGGGAGAAGGAAGCUCCCUCCUGGCCCCACUCCUCUUCCUAUUAUUGGAAAUAUGCUACAGAUAGAUGUUAAGGACAUCUGCAAAUCUUUCAGCAAUUUCUCAAAAGUCUAUGGUCCUGUGUUCACCGUGUAUUUUGGCAUGAAUCCCAUAGUGGUGUUGCAUGGAUAUGAGGCAGUGAAGGAAGCCCUGAUUGAUAAUGGAGAGGAGUUUUCUGGAAGAGGCAGUUCCCCAAUAUCUCAAAGAAUUACUAAAGGACUUGGAAUCAUUUCCAGCAAUGGAAAGAGAUGGAAGGAGAUCCGGCGUUUCUCCCUCACAACCUUGCGGAAUUUUGGGAUGGGGAAGAGGAGCAUUGAGGACCGUGUUCAAGAGGAAGCUCACUGCCUUGUGGAGGAGUUAAGAAAAACCAAGGCCUCACCCUGUGAUCCCACUUUCAUCCUGGGCUGCGCUCCCUGCAAUGUGAUCUGCUCCGUUGUUUUCCAGAAACGAUUUGAUUAUAAAGAUCAGAAUUUUCUCACCCUGAUGAAAAGAUUCAAUGAAAACUUCAGGAUUCUGAACUCCCCAUGGAUCCAGGUCUGCAAUAAUUUCCCUCUACUCAUUGAUUGUUUCCCAGGAACUCACAACAAAGUGCUUACAAAUGUUGCUCUUACACAAAGUUACAUUAGGGAGAAAGUAAAAGAACACCAAGCAUCACUGGAUGUUAACAAUCCUCGGGACUUUAUCGAUUGCUUCCUGAUCAAAAUGGAGCAGGAAAAGGACAACCAAAAGUCAGAAUUCAAUAUUGAAAACUUGGUUGGCACUGUAGCUGAUCUAUUUGUUGCUGGAACAGAGACAACAAGCACCACUCUGAGAUAUGGACUCCUGCUCCUGCUGAUGCACCCGGAGGUCACAGCUAAAGUCCAGGAAGAGAUUGAUCAUGUAAUUGGCAGACACAGGACCCCCUGCAUGCAGGAUAGGAGCCACAUGCCUUACACUGAUGCUGUAGUGCACGAGAUCCAGAGAUACAGUGACCUUGUCCCCACCGGUGUGCCCCAUGCAGUGACCACUGAUACUAAGUUCAGAAACUACCUCAUCCCCAAGAGCUUUGAUAACAAGAUAAUGCUGGCUGCAUAAAACUAGGGCACAACCAUAAUGACAUUACUGACUUCCGUGCUACACGAUGACAAAGAAUUUCCUAAUCCAAAUAUCUUUGACCCUGGCCACUUUCUAGAUAAGAAUGGCAACUUUAAGAAAAGUGACUACUUCAUGCCUUUCUCAGCAGGAAAACGAAUUUGUGCAGGAGAAGGACUUGCCCGCAUGGAGCUAUUUUUAUUUCUAACCACAAUUUUACAGAACUUUAACCUGAAAUCUGUUGAUGAUUUAAAGAACCUCAAUACUACUGCAGUUACCAAAGGGAUUGUUUCUCUGCCACCCUCGUACCAGAUCUGCUUCAUCCCUGUCUGAAGAAUGCUAGCCCAUCUGGCUGCCGAUCUGCUAUCACCUGCAAUUCUUUUUUUAUCAAGGACAUUCCCACUAUUAUGUCUUCUCUGACCUCUCAUCAAAUCUUCCCAUUCACUCAAUAUCCCAUAAGCAUCCAAACUCCAUUAAGGAGAGUUGUUCAGGUCACUGCACAAAUAUAUCUGCAAUUAUUCAUACUCUGUAACACUUGUAUUAAUUGCCGCAUAUGCUAAUACUUUUCUAAUGCUGACUUUUUAAUAUGUUAUCACUGUAAAACACAGAAAAGUGAUUAAUGAAUGAUAAUUUAGAUCCAUUUCUUUUGUGAAUGUGCUAAAUAAAAAGUGUUAUUAAUUGCUGGUUCA